AUUGAACGCUGGCGGCAUGCCUUACACAUGCAAGUCGAACGGCAGCGGGCCUUCGGGUGCCGGCGAGUGGCGAACGGUGAGUAAUGCAUCGGAACGUGCCAUUGAGUGGGGGAUAACGUAGCGAAAGUUGCGCUAAUACCGCAUAUUCUGUGAGCAGGAAAGCAGGGAACCGCAAGGCCUUGCGCUCUUUGAGCGGCCGAUGUCAGAUUAGCUAGUUGGUGAGGUAAAGGCUUACCAAGGCGACGAUCUGUAGCGGGUCUGAGAGGAUGAUCCGCCACACUGGAACUGAGACACGGUCCAGACUCCUACGGGAGGCAGCAGUGGGGAAUUUUGGACAAUGGGGGCAACCCUGAUCCAGCCAUGCCGCGUGAGUGAAGAAGGCCUU
Molecule: ribosomal RNA, 385 nt
Filed under: uncultured bacterium
Lineage: Bacteria
Description: bacterial SSU rRNA
Rfam family: Bacterial small subunit ribosomal RNA
Source: RNAcentral